This is a small nucleolar RNA of Tachyglossus aculeatus (Australian echidna), 142 nucleotides long. NCBI's taxonomy places the organism in Eukaryota, Metazoa, Chordata, Mammalia, Monotremata, Tachyglossidae. The record is from RefSeq and is a predicted model, not a curated record.
CCCCUUUCAGGGUCGGUCGCACCUGGAGAGUUUCUGGUCCUCUACCAGUCUCGGCUGCAGGAGGGAAAGUCAAGCAGAAGCCUACCCAUUCCAUUCCUAGCUUUGCCAGUGGCUAGGGAGUGGAAGGCAAUCUGCUACAAGU